Molecule: long non-coding RNA, 3210 nt
Filed under: Fragaria vesca (wild strawberry)
Lineage: Eukaryota; Viridiplantae; Streptophyta; Magnoliopsida; Rosales; Rosaceae
Description: long non-coding RNA (FVES_LNC005441)
Source: RNAcentral
UUGCCAACAACCUUAUACCUUCAACACAUGAUGACUAAUGUUGUAACUAGAAAAUUUUACAACUUUAAGGACUCAUAUUACAACUUCGAGAACUAAUAUUACUAGUUUGAGGACUCAAUUUACAAAGUUGAUGCACCGCAUCAUUCACAUACAUUAACACACUAGCCUUACCCGUUUAAUUCCUCUUAUAUUUUAGAACAUUUAGCCCAAUCUUACUCUCAACUCUAUUGUAAGAACCCACCCCGAAUUUUACCCUAAAACCCGGAGUAAAUCCUGCGGGGACCACCUCCAAGGAAGAUAUUACCGAAAAUUCGGCAUAACCUCCCAUGAAAAUGGACAACCCUUCCUAACGAAAACCUGCAAACACUCCUAAAAAUUCUCAAGCCAACCUUAACUUCUAGAGCCUACGUGCUCCCCAAAAACAACCACCACCAAUAACAAUAAAAAGAUCAACUUCCAGAUCAAUCACAUAAUUAUCCCGCUAAAAUAGCAUACAUCUUCCUUGAAAUAUUCUAAAUGUAAUCAAGCCUUCGUCCACAACCGAAAUAAUGUCAUACAAUAUUCCCAAGGGAAAAUCAGAGCUACUAGACACUAGAGGAAGCAAGAAAAACACUGGUAAGUUAAAUAGAUAACCUACUGAUGAAAGGUGGUGGAAAUGCGGGUGACUCUGCCUCGCCAUCUACUAGAUCUAACCCGAACUCUGCAGACUGGGCAUUUUUAAAAAGAAGGGCCCAGGGGAAGACAUUUGAAACCGUUAGAGUGAGUGGACAAAAAUAAAUUUAAAAAGAAAAUAAAUCUUUAUACUUUCCCGAUUUAACUUCUGUGGAAAAACAAUUAACGAUAUGCAACAAGCUCAAAAGCUUUUAAAAAUUUACCGAAUUUACCGAAACGUGACUAGCCGCGCUAGUCACCAACACUUCAUAAAAAUAGAGCCUCUCAGGCUAAAAUAAAAUAUGUAAGUAUUACACUCGUCAUAUCCCUUGUAUGAAUUUUUUGAAACAACAAAGACAAAUAGAAAAUUCACACAAGGUUACGACGCUUGCGUCUAACGCUCACGUCGUACCAUAAUGGCAUUUUACCUCAUUAUGGUGGAAAAGACGUUGUAUAAAUAUAUACGCGCAUAUCCCCUAUAUAAAUUAUUAUAUUUAUAUAGGGCUACGACGAUUGCGUCUAACGCUCACGUCGCACCAUAAUGACAUUUUACCUCAUUAUGGUGGAAAAGCAUGUAUAGCUAGCUAGCAUUCCUUCAUAUACAUAUUAUUCUCAUAAUCAUCCAAAUAUGGAUAUGUAUAUAUAUAUAUACUCACCGAAAUUCUCAAUUUCGGUUAUUCUCCAACAACAUAAAUUAUUUCGCAUGCACAUUAUUUAAAACAAAAGUCCACUCACAAAUUAGGCCUAAGCCUGAUGUCGAUGCCUCCUCACGACAUGUUCCAAAUAUAAUAUUAAUUUCCUAGCUGAAAUUCCAAUAUUUACACAAAAUAGGCAAAAAUUAACCGAGAGCCCUAAACACGCUCAUCAUUGCCUAACUUCGAAAUUGUCCACACCUCAACCCUAGAACCAGCAGCCGUAACUACACUUUCUCACAGUUUAAACAACUUUAAUCCAACGGCCAGAUUCUACAUUAAUUAACUGCCAAAAAUACCAAACUUCGGAAAUUUACAAACCUAACAAAAACUCCUCCAAAAAUUCCAUAAUUCACAUCAAUAAACUCCCCUUAAUAUUCCACAUCUAAAACCAUUAAAAUCUCCCAAACAGCGGCGGCCGGAGGCCGACUCCGGCGACUUCCAAUGCCAAUGAAAUUUUGACAGCAUCUUCCUCUCAACCCCUUAUACAACUUUCCUAACUAGCACAAACAUCAAUUCCAAGCCUAACUAGGGCAAUCGAGCAAAAACAACACAAAAAGCCCUAGAGCUUCCACUCACCGGUUCUACUCACCUUAAGCAAACUGGACCGAGUCCUUCUAGGGCAAGGCAACUAGGUUGGAGACCUUCAAAACCAUAUAAGGCUUGCCCGGAUUGGUGGCCGGAGGAGGAAGUUCCGGCGAGAAAACCACCACGACAGCUAGCGUUUCCGGGCGUCGUUUCUCUCUCACGGCGGCGCUAGGGGGGCUGUCAUUAGUCCAUGGAGGUAGCUGGGUUGAAGGCUGACCGAACGGGACCGGACCGGUGGCGGAUGGUGGCCGGACGGCGACGGACGGACGGCGAGAAGAUCCGACAGCGGGAGAGGGAGUGAGUCGGGAGGGAGAGAAGAAGAGAGAGAGAGAAGAAAUGAGGUUUGGGUCUCCACCAAACCGAUCCAACCCUUUAAAACAAAACCCAACUCUAAAAUUUACACCUCAAAAAUAAUACCCUAAUAAAAAUUACCUUUUACUAGCUAAAAAUUUACCAUUUUUUACCGUCGUUAAUAUUUUCUCCUACGAAUAAUCCUCUGAAAAUAACCGUCCCCUAAACCCCUCUAGGGACCAAUUCAACUAUAACCUCAAUGACGGAGACGGUAAAAUUCUUAUUAUAACCAAGCUAGUAAAUAAGGUAAAAAUUUAAGGGUCGGGAUGUGACAUUUAUUGUCACAUGCACCUUGACCCGGAAAUUGAGAAUAAUUUUUUUUUUCCAGGGUAAGGACGUGAAUAGCCUCGAUUUGUCAAAAGAUAAGAGAGAACCUUUGACAAAUAAAAGCUAUGUGAAAAACUUUAUUUCAUAAGUAUUGUUCUCACAACAAACAGGAAAGUAGCCUGAUUACACAAACUUAAAUAAAAAACAGUAAGCUAUAGAUUCACUCCUCCUCCUAGACUUCAGAUUCUUUCUAGACAUCAAGUCUUAUCCCUCAAGUGUAACAUCUGAACAAAUUCAUAAAGGGGUGAGCCAAAAGACUCAGUAGAGCAAAUCUCAUGCACAUAAUUUCAAUAUUAGUGUAUGCACAUAAUUUUAUGUUUCAGUUGCUGGUACUCUUGUACUCUUCUUGGUCACCAGUGUCUUCUUACCAUAAGAUCGUUUUAUUAAUAUAACAUUGAAAGGGCUUUUCUCCCUACAUGUAUAUAGAGAAAUUUUUCUGUCCUCCAGGAGGACCACGUCAACAUGCCUAGUGGUCAUCUUUGGCCAAUAGGAAGCGGUUAUGUAGUAUUUUUUGACAUGUAAUAAUAAAGUAAAAUAAUUACUGUAUUUAACUUAAGUAAAUCCAACCUUUUCUUUUAAAAAAAACUGAAGGAAAACCAAA